Long non-coding RNA from Cebus imitator (Panamanian white-faced capuchin), 539 nucleotides. RefSeq lists it as uncharacterized. NCBI's taxonomy places the organism in Eukaryota, Metazoa, Chordata, Mammalia, Primates, Cebidae. The transcript is spliced from 3 exons. The record is from RefSeq and is a predicted model, not a curated record.
CAAGGUAUAUAGAGGAUUAAUUAAAUUCUGUAAAACAUUGUAUGUAGGAAUGAGUGUGUGUGUGUGUGUGUGAGAGAGAGAGAGAGAGAGAGAGAGAAUGUGGUCAGUGAACAACAACUAUAUUUAGCAUACUCUUCUUCACACUGGGAUGCACAGGGAAAGAAGAAAGACAUGGUUAUUUCUCUCACUCUGCCUACAGAUUAGUGGGGAAGACACGCUAAAGGGCACGGAUGCUCAUUGGAAUAACAGCCAGAUUUGAUGUGGAAAAGGACCAAAAAGAAAGUGGAGUGAGGAAGAAGCGUUGUUGGUUUGAAGGGACUAAGUGAGGGAGGGUACAAUGAGGAGUCACCAGUCUGCAACCUGGAAGAGGCCCUUCACUAUGCUGACGCCCUAAUCUCAUAUUUCCAGCUUCUAGAACUCUGGGAGUUUGGAAGUCAGGAGUCAGUUGUCCACAGGAACACUUCUGCAAAUCUGUAAUCCCGGUGUAGGAAUCCAUGUUUCACCUUCUUUGUUCCAGAAAUGCAGACAACUCCAUACAG